AGACCCGAAACCCGGUGAUCUAGCCAUGGGCAGGUUGAAGGUUGGGUAACACUAACUGGAGGACCGAACCGACUAAUGUUGAAAAAUUAGCGGAUGACCUGUGGCUGGGGGUGAAAGGCCAAUCAAACCGGGAGAUAGCUGGUUCUCCCCGAAAGCUAUUUAGGUAGCGCCUCGUGAAUUCAUCUCCGGGGGUAGAGCACUGUUUCGGCUAGGGGGCCAUCCCGGCUUACCAACCCGAUGCAAACUGCGAAUACCGGAGAAUGUUAUCACGGGAGACACACGGCGGGUGCUAACGUCCGUCGUGAAGAGGGAAACAACCCAGACCGCCAGCUAAGGUCCCAAAGUCAUGGUUAAGUGGGAAACGAUGUGGGAAGGCCCAGACAGCCAGGAUGUUGGCUUAGAAGCAGCCAUCAUUUAAAGAAAGCGUAAUAGCUCACUGGUCGAGUCGGCCUGCGCGGAAGAUGUAACGGGGCUAAACCAUGCACCGAAGCUGCGGCAGCGACGCUUAUGCGUUGUUGGGUAGGGGAGCGUUCUGUAAGCCUGUGAAGGUGGCCUGUGAGGGUUGCUGGAGGUAUCAGAAGUGCGAAUGCUGACAUAAGUAACGAUAAAGCGGGUGAAAAGCCCGCUCGCCGGAAGACCAAGGGUUCCUGUCCAACGUUAAUCGGGGCAGGGUGAGUCGACCCCUAAGGCGAGGCCGAAAGGCGUAGUCGAUGGGAAACAGGUUAAUAUUCCUGUACUUGGUGUUACUGCGAAGGGGGGACGGAGAAGGCUAUGUUGGCCGGGCGACGGUUGUCCCGGUUUAAGCGUGUAGGUGUGUGUUCCAGGUAAAUCCGGUUCACUUUAACACUGAGGCGUGAUGACGAGGCACUACGGUGCUGAAGCAACAAAUGCCCUGCUUCCAGGAAAAGCCUCUAAGCAUCAGGUAACAUCAAAUCGUACCCCAAACCGACACAGGUGGUCAGGUAGAGAAUACCAA
RNAcentral lists this ribosomal RNA (976 nucleotides) under Salmonella enterica. RNAcentral describes it as "partial 23S ribosomal RNA". It matches the Rfam family "Bacterial large subunit ribosomal RNA", at positions 711 to 1684 of the family's 2925-position model. Lineage: Bacteria; Pseudomonadati; Pseudomonadota; Gammaproteobacteria; Enterobacterales; Enterobacteriaceae. The record is from RNAcentral.